UCUGUAGCAACACAAAGUGAGGCAGCGCUUAACACUCUUACCUUGUCCAAGUUCAACACAGUGCUCUGUUAGUGUUUCAAAAUAUGAUUGAUGGUGUGGGUAUAUGGCUGGGACAGGUCAAACUGCCUUUCUGGUGAUGGGAUGGAGCAGAUUGUGUGGACUUGGAACCAUCUCUGGCAUUGCCUAUCUCACUGCAAGAGUAUGCAAAAGCUUCAAGGUGUACAAUUUGCCCAAGAAAAGGGCUAAAUACUCAUUGGCUGGUGUGUAUCCACCAUGUCUGGUAGCUAAACCAGCUUGUAAUGGGAUGUGGAUGCCUUAUAGCACAGCCACAGGUCAUGUGACAGCACCUACCCAGGUGGGAGAAGAUAGAAGGUGCCAAGAGGUGGUGGGUUCUGCAGCUGGUGUGCAGGGCCAAGAGGAGCAACGGAGAUCUGAGCCUGUAGAUGUGAUAGAUCCCAAAGGAGCCGUGCGAAGGAGCCCGUGCUGCUGGAGGACUGCACCUUGCCAAAUCGUCUUGGCAGCCGCAUCCAUGCAGCCCAUCCAAGAGGGGGUUUUCCAGAAUGUUAUGGUCACAAAUCUUCCUAACUCUCAAGUCUGAUUGCAGUGUUUAUUUAAAACACUCCUCCUUUUAGCAGCUCUGUGUAAGCUACAGCGUGAGACAACUCAUUAUAGCUUGACAGAGGGGUAUGGACAUAUGUGCGCACCAGACUCACGUAUGAACGAACCUACAAAAGGAAUGGUGAGGCAAGAAAUAGUACAUCAAAGACAAGUGGGAGAGCAAGCAACUGUCAGACAUCUCAGCCUCCACAGAAGAGGAAUGGCACUGCUGUGGUUAGUCACAACUGUAGCUGCCCCAGCCUGCAGGGAUGAAGAAUCCCCAUUCCCAUGUGGUGGAUCCAGCAGUGAGGCAGAAGAUGUGGGAGCAAAGAGAGGUACCCAGGUGACCUCAGAACAAGCCAGAAGGGUGAAGCCUUCAUUUCUUCCCUUGGCAGGAUUGAACAGGCUGUGGUACGAACUGAGCUCAUCUCUCAGCCAGGAUUGUGUCUGCUCACAGGACCCCUCAGGUGUUCUCGGAGUGGCCUUUGCCUAUAGAUCAGCAUGCAGCAGUGUGGUGGAGAUGUGUCCCUCAGUGCCAUGUUCAUGCUUUUCUUGAAAACCUCCAGGGACGGUGACUCCACCACCUCCCUGGGAAAUGCUCUUUGCAUUUACGUUGGAGAAUGGAGAUUUGCAGGACCAAUGGAUACAACCAAGUGAGGACUGAAGGCUGCUGCAGUGGCAGCCACUGUGUGCUCAGAAAGCCGGUCCCUGGACACGGCAUGGUGACAUUUCCCAUUCAAUUGCAUGGGGACACUGCCACCGGUGGGAGCUGUUGCCAUGGCAAUGUGAUAAUUGUAGCACAUCCCAAGAGAGGUCCCUCUGCAGCAUCCCAAGAUUUCCCUUCGCCUCAUGCUAACGCCAGGGCUGCUCUUGAUCCUGUCAGCAGUAGCUGCGUGCGUUGCUAAAAAGACACAGAAAUAAAGCAAAUCUACCCAAAACA
RNAcentral lists this long non-coding RNA (1537 nucleotides) under Numida meleagris (helmeted guineafowl). Its description in RNAcentral is "lncRNA (ENSNMEG00000020298.1)". Lineage: Eukaryota; Metazoa; Chordata; Aves; Galliformes; Numididae. The record is from RNAcentral.